GGUCCUUCAACAGCUGGACAGCAUAGGAACAGUGGAUGUCUACGGCUGUGUGUUUGACCUCCGGCUGCACCGCUCUCACAUGGUGCAAACAGAGUACCAGUACUCCUUCCUCCACCAGUGUGUUCGAGAUGUCCUGAGAGCCAGGAAGCUCCGUAGUGAGCAGGAGAACCCUCUCUACCCCAUCUAUGAGAACUUCAACCCAGACUACUACCGUGAUUUUGUGUACACGGGACGCUAAAGACAGUCUGGGUUCCUCUCCACAACUGAGUGAGAAUGAAAAGCAGGGAAGAAUCUGUUGAACACCAGCAGACAGCCAGUCUGUCACAACUACAGCACUAUAGAGUGGGGGGUAAAGCUAUUUAUUAUUGAUACGCUGUUGGUUCAACCUCUCAGGAUGUCUGUUUAAAAUGGAACAGAUCCACGUCUGGAAAUAUUGACAUUACAUUCACUUAUACCUGAAUCUUAGGUUGCAUUCAAUGAGAUAUAUGUUUAUAUUGUUUUGCACCUAAUUGUAAGCUCUUCCAAGAAACAUUAUUUCUAAACUCAUGUUUUUUCAAUAUUAGUAAUGUCUGAUGAAAAGACAAAAGGAACAGAUAUAAAUGUGGAUAUAAUGAUUCUUAUUCAAUGUAAUAGAAAAAAGAUGAAUGAAAAAUAUCAGGCGAAGCAAUAAAUGGGAUUCUAUGAGGCGUAGCUACCCUACAUCACAAAGCAUUAUUAUGACAAGGCUUGACUCCUAAAAACCUUCCCUGAAGGAACCUUCCCUGCAUCCCAACUGGCACCCUAUUCUCUAUGGGUCCUAAUCAAAAGUUGUGCACUAUAUAGGGAAUAGGGUGCCAUUUGGGUACAAAGCCCUUUCUGUAUAAUAUGUUCUAAAUCGUAGUUGCUGGUUCGUAGUUAAAAAAUAAUUAACCCGAAGCAGACAGACAGACAGCUAGCUGUCUUGAGAGUAGCUCAUCACAAUGCUGUCUAUAUCCUUGUAUAAAGUAGCAGACCGUUUGUACAGUUGCUUGUGUUGUGAAUAGUUCUCUUAUCUUUAAACAUAUCGUCAGUUCAUGUUGUGUGUGUGUACCAUUGAGAUUGUACAGUAGAGCCUGGAAGAGGGAACAGUAUAUAGUUUGUAUAAGUAUGACAUCUCGGCUACCUAUGUUUUCUAGGGCGAAGGGAAUACUCUACUGGAAAACAAAUGCCAUCUUGUAUUCGGUUGUCUCCGAAAGAGGUGGUAACCUUUUUUCCAUGGUCUUUCGAACCAGAUGGAGGGAGUGUUCAUGAGAGGGACUGUAUGGGUUUUGUACAUUACCUUCCUCAAAACAUGAUGUUGCAUUUCUGUUCAUCCUUUUGGCAUAAAACUAGGCUGAUGAAUGUGUCUGUGAACAUACAAACAGUGAUCUUUCUAUGUCAUGUUGAACUGAGCAGGAGAUCCCUUCAACUGAAUCUGAGCUGGCCAGCUUCCUGAUCUAAACAGGAGAAGGUCUAGAAAUAGGACUAAACUAAAAACAACUGAAGAAACUUCACACAAUAAGCAAUACUGGCCAAAUCCUGCUGAGAUCCUGGGGAUAAAGUGAGAGAAUUGAACAAAAUGUCAACAUCCUGACCCUGUGAAAGGUCUGUAGUGGCCAAGACACUGACCUUUCCAGUCUACAGGUUUGGGACGUGGCAUUUCUCUGUCUGAGCUUCUCUGAGCCCCUAGCCACGGAAACAAAGACUGAGCUACAGAAGAGACAGUGUUGGUUGGCAUUCUUCCCAUUGUUACUGAAGAUAUUGCAGAUCUUCAGUAGCUCUCAUUCCGUUAGUAUUUCAAUAUCAAUCUGUAUCUACAUAUAAAUAGUACGUUCAGAUUGAAUCUUCUCUCCAAUGGCUCCCGUUACGUUAGUGUCUCUACUCUAUAUACAAACAUCACAUAUUUAGUUUAACUUUGUUGUUCAAUUUAAACAUGAAAAUACUAAGAGGAUCAUUUUCAGGGUUCUGACUCCUCCCACUAGUAUCAGAUGGAACACAUUCUGACUCCUCCCAGUAGUAUCAGAUGGAACACAUUCUGACUCCUCCCAGUAGUAUUAGAUGGAACACAUUCUGACUCCUCCCAGUAGUAUCAGAUGGAACACAUUCUGACUCCUCCCACUAGUAUCAGAUGGAACACAUUCUGACUCCUCCCAGUAGUAUCAGAUGGAACACAUUCUGACUCCUCUCAGUAGUAUCAGAUGGAACACAUUCUGACUCCUCCCGCUAGUAUCAGAUGGAACACAUUCUGACUCCUCCCGCUAGUAUCAGAUGGAACACAUUCUGACUCCUCCCAGUUGUAUCAGAUGGAACACAUUCUGACUCCUCCCAGUUGUAUCAGAUGGAACACAUUCUGACUCCUCCCAGUAGUAUCAGAUGGAACACAUUCUGACUCCUCCCAGUAGUAUCAGAUGGAACACAUUCUGACUCCUCCCAGUAGCAGGGAUAUUGAAUUUCCUGUUUAGUCCUAUUCCCCUCUUCACAAAAAAUGCUGGCGCUCGUCAUUGAUUUUGCACCAAAUAACCCCCACACAGCAAGUAAGACAAUGUAUAAAUUAUUGUGUAGAGUAGAGCACCAGUCUCUCAGGCUUGACCCUCUCACCCCUGUCCUCCCCUAUAAGCCUAAAGGUCAUAUCAUAAAGAGAUUGUCUCCAGAUAAUAUAGUACAGAAACAUCAAAUCUCUCCAUCUGUUCUCCUCCCUGCUGGGAGUUGAGUGGAUUUAAUUGUGUUAAGCUCCACUGUGGAUUCCUCAAAAGUUUUUCAUUACAGAAAUCUAUAUCAAUCCGCCUCCCUCCUGUCAAACUAAUACGUUCUUAGAUCCCCAAUGACCCUCUAGAACACAUCUCUCUGAGUUUCACCAGAGUAUGGCUCGUGCCCAUACAGCAGCUAAAACUUCAUGUGAAGGCGCUUAGCUACCUGAUGAAUAUUCUUCCAACGUUUCUGUUUUGCUGUUACAUCGCUACUACCUCGCUCACCAACCAACAGUUGACCUGCAGGGGGAAACCUUCUAACCAAGGCCUUUAGAAAGAAACAAGGAGAUUAGGGACAGAGGUGUUGGAGGCAAAUCAGAGGAAUUAACUGUCUUUAACAGAGAGGUCAUGGCGUAAGCCUGCCGUGUCAUUUACAGUAUGUAUCAUUUACAGUAUGUAUCAUUUACAGUAUGUAUCAUAUCAUUUACAGUAUGUAUCAUUUACAGUAGGUAUCAUUUACAGUAGGUAUCAUUUACAGUAGGUACCAUUUACAGUAGGUAUCGGUUACAGUAUGUAUCAUUUACAGUAGGUAUCAUUUACAGUAGGUAUAAUUCCACAUGAUCUAUGGGAUGGUUGUGCAUCUGGAAUAUGAACAUAGCUUAAACUAGCUGAAAGAAUGUUCCCUAGCCUAGAAUGUUCCCUAGCCUGGAAUGUUCCCUAGCCUAGAAUGUUCCCUAGCCUGGAAUGUUCCCUAGCCUAGAAUGUUCCCUAGCCUAGAAUGUUCCCCUAGCCUGGAAUGUUCCCUAGCCUAGAAUGUUCCCUAGCCUGGAAUGUUCCCUAGCCUGGAAUGUUCCCUAGCCUAGAAUGUUCCCUAGCCUGGAAUGUUCCCUAGCCUGGAAUGUUCCCUAGCCUAGAAUGUUCCCUAGCCUAGAAUGUUCCCUAGCCUAGAAUGUUCCCUUUCAUUUAAAAGUAGAGAAUUCUGUUGUUUAUUUUUUGUUCUUCAUAAUCAUACUGCUGGCAAUAGAGGAGAGAAGUGUUGAUGCAUGUUCCUAAUUGGUUUCCAACUCUGUUUCCAGUCUCUUGUUAAUAUGAUGAGGUAAUCUGCCAUCUCAUUACGUUCAGCACAUAGUUAACUAUGAACCGUUCAUCCCUCUGGAGAACUAAGGUUGUAUUAAUUAAUCACUGAUGUAGGCAGGCGUCCCAAAAGGGUGCCAUUUGGAGCACACAGCCAUAGAGUGAUUAAUCAUAGGAGUAGUAUCUCUCUAGAUCAGUGUCUUACUCGGUGAGCAUACUGCCAAAAUAAGGAAGCCUUGUCCAAGCCAGAGCGGCCCAAAGGGCAGGAGCCUGUCUCCUGUUUCUGAAGCGUGAGGCAACUUAAUGUACUAGUACACCCCUGGACAGGACACUAGUCUGUCUGACUAUACUGGUAUAUAUUAAUGUACUAGUACACCCCCUGGACAGGACACUAGUCUGUCUGUCUAUACUGGUAUAUAUUAAUGUACUAGUACACCCCCUGGACAGGACACUAGUCUGUCUGUCUAUACUGGUAUAUAUUAAUGUACUAGUA
Molecule: non-coding RNA, 4251 nt
Organism: Salmo salar (Atlantic salmon)
Lineage: Eukaryota; Metazoa; Chordata; Actinopteri; Salmoniformes; Salmonidae
Source: RefSeq, a predicted model, not a curated record